This 387-nucleotide long non-coding RNA is filed under the name Mytilus galloprovincialis (Mediterranean mussel). The record is from RNAcentral. Lineage: Eukaryota; Metazoa; Mollusca; Bivalvia; Mytilida; Mytilidae.
CUGAAAUUGAUCAUGAAUGACUUUUCCAAUGAUGGCAGUUAUGAGGUUACCAUCUUUUUUGAGAGCUGGGAUACAUGAUUUGUCUGUUCUUAUUGAUUUUAUAAACUGGAAGAGUUUUUAGACUAUAGUCCAGUCAAAAUUUUGAUGGGACAUAUUAUAGUAUACAAAUGUCCAGUCGCCCGCCUUCUGACUGACUGUCUGUCUGUCUGAAAUUAUACCACAAGUUUUUCGUACCGCAAAGGGAUAGGAUUGGUUAUGGGGGUUAUGGCUCAAACCAUCUAGGAAUUGGGGGCAAAAAAGGGGGAAAACAAGGGUUUCCUGGUUAAUGGACAAUAAAGACAUUUUUAAAGCAGUGUAAGGGAGUUAAUCCAAUCAAUUUGCAACAGC